GCAGUCGAGGGGCAGCAUGAUUUGUAGCAAUACAGAUUGAUGGCGACCGGCGCACGGGUGAGUAACGCGUAUGCAACUUACCUAUCAGAGGGGGAUAGCCCGGCGAAAGUCGGAUUAAUACCCCAUAAAACAGGGGUCCCGCAUGGGAAUAUUUGUUAAAGAUUCAUCGCUGAUAGAUAGGCAUGCGUUCCAUUAGGCAGUUGGCGGGGUAACGGCCCACCAAACCGACGAUGGAUAGGGGUUCUGAGAGGAAGGCCCCCCACAUUGGUACUGAGACACGGACCAAACUCCUACGGGAGGCAGCAGUGAGGAAUAUUGGUCAAUGGCCGAGAGGCUGAACCAGCCAAGUCGCGUGAAGGAAGAAGGAUCUAUGGUUUGUAAACUUCUUUUAUAGGGGAAUAAAGUGGAGGACGUGUCCUUUUUUGUAUGUACCCUAUGAAUAAGCAUCGGCUAACUCCGUGCCAGCAGCCGCGGUAAUACGGAGGAUGCGAGCGUUAUCCGGAUUUAUUGGGUUUAAAGGGUGCGUAGGUGGUGAUUUAAGUCAGCGGUGAAAGUUUGUGGCUCAACCAUAAAAUUUGCCGUUGAAACUGGGUUACUUGAGUGUGUUUG
RNAcentral lists this ribosomal RNA (609 nucleotides) under uncultured bacterium. RNAcentral's name for it is "bacterial SSU rRNA". It matches the Rfam family "Bacterial small subunit ribosomal RNA", at positions 57 to 654 of the family's 1533-position model. The record is from RNAcentral.